ACAAUUAAAAGAAUUACUGAAUAAACAUCACAUAAACGCACUACAUAUGUUCGAUUGCAACAGAAACUGUUAUACACGAGAUAUUGACAAAACAAAACUAAACGAUCAAUUGUUUACACAAAACGUCAUCAAUAAGACCCAAGACCGUGCUUGAGUGAAGUUAGAACUAAAACACGAACCAGCAGCGUAUCAACAGGCGCUACUUUGAAUGAAGUUGGUUGCCUAUUGACCUUUCUCUGUGUGUGUAACUGUACAUGCUCUCACGCAGCGCAGGGUGUAGAAAAACCAGGUUCGAUGAAUAUGUGUGAAUCAUGCAUAAGAUUAAUAUUUGUGACUACUCUGCUACAAUAAGAAUGUGAAACGUCACAAAGUAGAAUCAUUGUCAUAACUUAUAAAAAUGUUUGUGAUCAUUCAAAAUGAAGAGAUAAUGUUGCCAAAAUUGUACAAACUAUUUCGCCAAUGAUGCCACAUUAGCUCGAGAUUUUACAAAUGUUAUAAUUUUGAUUCUGUGAAAACAUAAUAUACAUAGGUACCUGCGUAAAAACAAAAAAUAUGUUUAUGCAACUAACGUCCUCUGUCAAAUAUUAUCCAAAUUACGACGCAACAGAAAAAGCAGUACUGUGUGUUACAAAUGCUCUUUUCCAAAAGUUUCAGCAUGAUGCUACUAGAUGGCACUAUACAAAAAAAUUAAGAAAAAUGUUUCAUCUAAAAUAAUAUUCGCUUGAGUUUCUCACCUCCUAUCUCAAAUAAUAUCUCAAUUAAAUAAGAGUUUACC
RNAcentral lists this unclassified non-coding RNA (775 nucleotides) under Melitaea cinxia (Glanville fritillary). RNAcentral describes it as "misc RNA ENSMCXG00005007916.1". Lineage: Eukaryota; Metazoa; Arthropoda; Insecta; Lepidoptera; Nymphalidae. The record is from RNAcentral.